GCACUGCUGAGGAGUCCCACAACGGGACGAAACGAUCAUCCAGUGC
Non-coding RNA from Schistosoma haematobium, 46 nucleotides. The record is from Rfam. Lineage: Eukaryota; Metazoa; Platyhelminthes; Trematoda; Strigeidida; Schistosomatidae.